GACGAACGCUGGCGGCGUGCUUAACACAUGCAAGUCGAACGGAAAGGCCCUGCUUUUGUGGGGCGCUCGAGUGGCGAACGGGUGAGUAACACGUGAGUAACCUGCCCUUGACUUUGGGAUAACUUCAGGAAACUGGGGCUAAUACCGGAUAGGAGCUCCUGCUGCAUGGUGGGGGUUGGAAAGUUUCGGCGGUUGGGGAUGGACUCGCGGCUUAUCAGCUUGUUGGUGGGGUAGUGGCUUACCAAGUCUGUGACGGGUAGCCGGCCUGAGAGGGUGACCGGCCACAUUGGGACUGAGAUACGGCCCAGUCUGCUACGGGAGGCAGCAGGGGGGAAUAUUGCACAAUGGGCGGAAGCCUGAUGUAGCAACGCCGGGUGCGUGAUGACGGCCUUCGGGUUGUAAACAGCUGUCGCCUGUAACGAAGCGUGAGUGACGGUAAUGGGUAAAGAAGCACCGGCUAACUACGUG
RNAcentral lists this ribosomal RNA (468 nucleotides) under uncultured bacterium. RNAcentral's name for it is "partial 16S ribosomal RNA". It matches the Rfam family "Bacterial small subunit ribosomal RNA", at positions 28 to 507 of the family's 1533-position model. The record is from RNAcentral.